UGGGGAAUAUUGCACAAUGGGGGAAACCCUGAUGCAGCAACGCCGCGUGCGGGAUGACGGCCUUCGGGUUGUAAACCGCUUUCAGCCAUGACGAAGCUUUUGUGACGGUAGUGGCAGAAGAAGCACCGGCUAACUACGUGCCAGCAGCCGCGGUGAUACGUAGGGUUCGAGCGUUGUCCGGAAUUAUUGGGCGUAAAGAGCUUGUAGGCGGUUUGUCGCGUCGCAAGUGUGAACUCAGUGCUUAACGCUGAGCCUGCUUUCGAUACGGGCUGACUAGAGGAAGGUAGGGGAGAAUGGAAUUCCCGGUGGAGCGGUGGAAUGCGCAGAUAUCGGGAGGAACACCAGUGGCGAAGGCGGUUCUCUGGACCUUUCCUGACGCUGAGAAGCGAAAGCGUGUGUAGCAAGCAGG
Molecule: ribosomal RNA, 409 nt
Filed under: bacterium
Lineage: Bacteria
Description: partial 16S ribosomal RNA
Rfam family: Bacterial small subunit ribosomal RNA
Source: RNAcentral